This 318-nucleotide long non-coding RNA is filed under the name Prunus persica (peach). RNAcentral's name for it is "long non-coding RNA (PPER_LNC002365)". The record is from RNAcentral. Lineage: Eukaryota; Viridiplantae; Streptophyta; Magnoliopsida; Rosales; Rosaceae.
AAAAAAUAUAAUUAAACAUAUAUAGCCUAAUAUUUUUAACUAAAAAUAAAUUAAAAAUAUAUACAAUUGCAUAUCCUACCACACAGUGGCGGAUCUAUUAAGCACCUCUUCUCGCUAGAAAAAUCAUUGUAUGUACUUCAAAUUGCCCAUUUGCUUAGCUGGUGGUGGUGCACUCCAGGUGUAUAGAUUACCUUAUUUCCAUUUUAGCAUUUAAGUAAAUGUCUUUGUUCUUUUACUUUCAUUUAUUUUUAUAUUACUCCAUUUGCUUAAUUUUACAAUGUAAAUAAGGAAGUAUCCCCCAUUUGAAUUCAAAUAAAA